GAUGAAGAACGUAGCGAAAUGCGAUACGUAAUGUGAAUUGCAGAAUUCAGUGAAUCAUCGAGUCUUUGAACGCACAUUGCGCCCCCUGGUAUUCCGGGGGGCAUGCCUGUCCGAGCGUCAUUGCUGCCCUCAAGCACGGCUUGUGUGUUGGGCCCCGUCCUCCGAUCCCGGGGGACGGGCCCGAAAGGCAGCGGCGGCACCGCGUCCGGUCCUCGAGCGUAUGGGGCUUUGUCACCCGCUCUGUAGGCCCGGCCGGCGCUUGCCGAUCAACCCAAAUUUUUAUCCAGGUUGACCUCGGAUCAGGUAGGGAUACCCGCUGAACUUAAGCAUAUCAAUAGCGGAGGA
This 345-nucleotide unclassified non-coding RNA is filed under the name soil metagenome. RNAcentral describes it as "partial contains 5.8S ribosomal RNA, internal transcribed spacer 2, and large subunit ribosomal RNA". The stretch from base 1 to 120 matches the Rfam family "5.8S ribosomal RNA", at positions 35 to 154 of the family's 154-position model. The record is from RNAcentral.